CUCGCGGAGCGCUGUGGGCGGGGCCACCCUCGGCAGUUUGGGGCUCACGGGGCCGCGCGGGCCAGGUACUUCUCGGGGUCUGGGAGAGGUGGCGCGGACUUGGGAGCCCCUAGAGCUGUGAGAAUAGGUGGAUGACUGUGGACACCCGAGCGCUCAUGAGGAGAGUGAGCCCCUUUCCAUUGGCGAGACCCAGACCAGGGUGAAGAAAUCAUAGAAUCUCAAAGAAGUGAAACACAUAAUGAUAUUAAGACUAACUUCAAAAAUUAAAAAAAAUUUGUUUCUCUCAGGAAUAGACAUGAAGACCAUAUUCUAAGUUUAUACGGAGACCAUGUUCUAAGUUUAUUCCAGAGGAUGGGAAAGAGAUCAUCAGCUAGUAGCAAUCUACCCUGCAGAAAGAAGCUACUCAUGAUAAACACUAGGACUUGUGACAGACACACUAUCCAGUGACUCCAGGGAGCCACACAUCUUUGCAUAAUCCCCUUUUGAGUACACAUAGGAAUCUGGGACUUGCUCCUAACCAAUAAAAUGUGGAUGUCUGUCUUUGGCUAAGGGAAGAGAUCCCCCUGUGUCCAUUGUUUCAGGCUAGUGACAGAAACUCCUACUGAUUUUGAGAAAGUCAAGUAGCCAUGUUGUGGAAGGGUAUGUGAGAGGGCCAUGACAAUCACCUAUGUGUGGCCUCUCCCUGCCAGCUGUAAGAAGCUGGGGUCUUCAGCUGUGCAGCUAAAGAAAAGUGAAUUUUCCAAAAACCCUUAUCAGUUUGGAAAUGGAAUUUUCCCUAGUUGACUCUUCAGAUGAGAACACAGCCUGGCUGCCACCAACAUUGCAGCCUGGGAAGACCCUGAUUGUAGGACACAGAAAAAGCUGUACCCAGAUUCCUGACCAUAGAAACUGGCAGAUACUGAGUUUCAUUGUUCCAAGUCACUAAAUUUGUGAUAAUUCAUUACAACAAUAAGAUAACUAAUACAAGAAUUGUCCCCUUUUCCUCCAAUGACAGCUUCCAAAGUAUUGAUGUUUUCUCUCCUGUUGUCUUUAUGUUUUAAUUUUUUAAUCUUUGAGUUUUUAAAUACACUUUAGA
Heterocephalus glaber (naked mole-rat) is the source of this 1075-nucleotide long non-coding RNA. RefSeq lists it as uncharacterized. NCBI's taxonomy places the organism in Eukaryota, Metazoa, Chordata, Mammalia, Rodentia, Bathyergidae. The record is from RefSeq and is a predicted model, not a curated record.